Molecule: transfer RNA, 69 nt
Filed under: Micromonospora vinacea
Lineage: Bacteria; Bacillati; Actinomycetota; Actinomycetes; Micromonosporales; Micromonosporaceae
Description: tRNA-Arg
Rfam family: tRNA
About the family: Transfer RNA (tRNA) molecules are approximately 80 nucleotides in length. Their secondary structure includes four short double-helical elements and three loops (D, anti-codon, and T loops). Further hydrogen bonds mediate the characteristic L-shaped molecular structure. tRNAs have two regions of fundamental functional importance: the anti-codon, which is responsible for specific mRNA codon recognition, and the 3' end, to which the tRNAs corresponding amino acid is attached (by aminoacyl-tRNA synthetases). tRNAs cope with the degeneracy of the genetic code in two manners: having more than one tRNA (with a specific anti-codon) for a particular amino acid; and 'wobble' base-pairing, i.e. permitting non-standard base-pairing at the 3rd anti-codon position.
Source: RNAcentral
AACCGGGUGCCCGAGUGGUGAGGGAGCGGUUUGCGAAAUCGCGUACGCCGGCUUCGAUUCCGGUCACGG